UACGUAGGGGGCGAGCGUUGUCCGGAAUUACUGGGCGUAAAGGGCGCGUAGGCGGUGCUGUAAGUCUGUGGUGAAAUCUCUGGGCUCAACUCAGAGUCUGCCAUAGAAACUGCAGUGCUGGAGUGUGGGAGAGGUGAGUGGAAUUCCCGGUGUAGCGGUGAAAUGCGUAGAUAGUCGGGAGGAACACCUGUGGCGAAAGCGGCUCACUGGACCACAACUGACGCUGAGGCGCGAAAGCGUGGGAGCAACAGG
This 252-nucleotide ribosomal RNA is filed under the name uncultured bacterium. RNAcentral describes it as "partial 16S ribosomal RNA". It matches the Rfam family "Bacterial small subunit ribosomal RNA", at positions 524 to 776 of the family's 1533-position model. The record is from RNAcentral.